This 994-nucleotide long non-coding RNA is filed under the name Olea europaea (common olive). Its description in RNAcentral is "long non-coding RNA (OEUR_LNC000848)". Lineage: Eukaryota; Viridiplantae; Streptophyta; Magnoliopsida; Lamiales; Oleaceae. The record is from RNAcentral.
UAUGGGGGUUGAGGGAUGACAAUUUAGCUAAGGAAUAUAAGCUACUCUCCAUUCUCUAACUAGCUCGACUCUCCUCAGAAUUGAGGCAAAGGUAUAUUCUUACCUGCGCCAUGUAAACAAAAUUGAGAGAUGGGGAGCGAAAACGAGACAUAAGCUAUAGAUUCCAAGACCAUAGCCCAUUUUCCAAGACUAUCCCUGAUUUCUUAGUGCAAAAAAUCCCUUGUUUACUUCACAUAACAUUAAUUUGUUCUCCCCAAUACAGAAAUUUUUUCUUGAUAGAGUCUUGUCACUCUGCUGUGGUUGAAAGCUUAACUUAUGUCUAAUCCAAGCCAAGGUCAAAGGUUGGUGUGAGAUAAAAAUUAGUUGCAUACGCUGUUUCAUAACAUUAACGUGCAGAGAAGAAAUCUUACGAAUCCAGACUUGUUAUAGCACAAUGUUCAUCGUUAACUGCUAUGACUUUUUUGGACAAUCACUCCUUGAAUACAAAGAUCAAACCAAUUGUGCAGCAAUGACAAAUGAUUUUCAGAACCCUCAAGUUAUACUCCAAAAGUUGGUGCAUGAAAGUCUGCCCUGGUCAUCUUGGAACUCUGCCACCAACAUUGAUGAAGACAAAUUAAAACCAUUUGUGCACAAAAAUAAUUCAACCAAAUGAAGAACCUGGGGUUUCUAGCAUUAUCAUAAAGACUAACAUUAUGCAGUCCAAGCUCUUUCGGUGUCCCUCACAUCUCCAGAUACCGGAUAUGCAUUCCUUACAAGUUGAUUCAUCUCAAUUAGCACUCGAAUAGAAUAAAAACCGCUGUUCGCACUCAAAACUUGUCAGAAUUUGGAACAAAUGCAAUAUCGGACCCUCCUAAUGAGGGAACAACUUAAAGCGGUUAAAAAAAAGUCAAUGAAGCGGGUGGUUUGUGACUUUCCAAAAAUUUCCAUAAUCCGACAAAUCAACCCAACGAUCUCUUAUAUUGUUUCGUUAGAUAUUGUGAUGCAAACCAUGUCG